This 526-nucleotide unclassified non-coding RNA is filed under the name Hevea brasiliensis (rubber tree). The record is from RNAcentral. Lineage: Eukaryota; Viridiplantae; Streptophyta; Magnoliopsida; Malpighiales; Euphorbiaceae.
GAACCAGACAAAUGUAACUACAUAGUUUCAUCCAACAUCUGGACUCUAGUCAUAUUUCCAGCUCAUAUAGGGAUGCCGAGUACUUUCCAAUUUGACAUUUCUGCUAGUUUUGCUGUCAAUGCUCAUAUGUCCAAAAACAAGAAACAUUUUUCCAUUUUGUCUAGCUUCUCCUAUCACUGAAGAGGUUGUAAAAUGAUAUCAAGCAUGAAAAUGGAAACCCUUUUUGUUCAACUUCAUAGAUCACUGAAGAGUGCUUCAAGAAGUAGCAAUCAAGGAGGACUCUCAUUCACUUUUUACAGCAUGGUAGAUGUGACGAGUAAACAUCAAGGAAGCCCGGAGACUGAUUGUUCCAAGCAUAAGGAAAAAUGCAUAGCAUAUGCAAGUGUUGUAUACAAAGAAGAUGGUAGUCUGCAAGACUCCGCUCAUGUUUGAUUUGCAAUAGAAGUAUAUGGAGUAGACAAACAUAAAUACAGCAGUUGAGCCCCCACGGAAAAUAGACCUGCACCAAGUACCAUAUUGAUCAGUU